This 157-nucleotide ribosomal RNA is filed under the name Akanthomyces dipterigenus. RNAcentral describes it as "Lecanicillium longisporum 5.8 S ribosomal RNA". It matches the Rfam family "5.8S ribosomal RNA". Rfam says of the family: 5.8S ribosomal RNA (5.8S rRNA) is a component of the large subunit of the eukaryotic ribosome. It is transcribed by RNA polymerase I as part of the 45S precursor that also contains 18S and 28S rRNA. Functionally, it is thought that 5.8S rRNA may be involved in ribosome translocation. The record is from RNAcentral. Lineage: Eukaryota; Fungi; Ascomycota; Sordariomycetes; Hypocreales; Cordycipitaceae.
AAACUUUCAACAACGGAUCUCUUGGUUCUGGCAUCGAUGAAGAACGCAGCGAAAUGCGAUAAGUAAUGUGAAUUGCAGAAUUCAGUGAAUCAUCGAAUCUUUGAACGCACAUUGGUGCGCCAGCCUUCUGGCGGGCAUGCCUGUUCGAGCGUCAUUU